This 73-nucleotide transfer RNA is filed under the name Accumulibacter sp. RNAcentral describes it as "tRNA-Met". It matches the Rfam family "tRNA". From Rfam's summary of the family: Transfer RNA (tRNA) molecules are approximately 80 nucleotides in length. Their secondary structure includes four short double-helical elements and three loops (D, anti-codon, and T loops). Lineage: Bacteria; Pseudomonadati; Pseudomonadota; Betaproteobacteria. The record is from RNAcentral.
AGCGGGAUAGCGCAGUGGGUAGAGCAUCGGGCCCAUACCCCGAAGGUCGACGGUUCAAGUCCGUCUCCCGCGA